AACUAAUGCUGGUGGUAUGCUUAACACAUGCAAGUCGAACGGACUUUAAGGAGCUUGCUCUUUAAAGUUAGUGGCAAACGGGUGAGUAAUGUAUAAGAAUCUACCUCGCAGUAUGGAAUAACUUUGGGAAACUAAAGAUAAUACCGUAUAUUACCAUUUAUUUGGGAAAGAUUUAUCGCUGUGAGAUGAGCUUAUAUCAGAUUAGCUAGUUGGUAGGGUAAUGGCCUACCAAGGCAAUGAUCUGUAGCUGGUCUGAGAGGACGACCAGCCACACUGGAACUGCGACACGGUCCAG
This 295-nucleotide ribosomal RNA is filed under the name uncultured bacterium. Its description in RNAcentral is "partial 16S ribosomal RNA". It matches the Rfam family "Bacterial small subunit ribosomal RNA", at positions 29 to 334 of the family's 1533-position model. The record is from RNAcentral.